Molecule: ribosomal RNA, 478 nt
Filed under: uncultured bacterium
Lineage: Bacteria
Description: partial 16S ribosomal RNA
Rfam family: Bacterial small subunit ribosomal RNA
Source: RNAcentral
GACGAACGCUGGCGGCGUGCUUAACACAUGCAAGUCGAACGGGAUUUAGUAAACAGAAACCUCGGUGGAAGAUUACUAAUGAGAGUGGCGAACGGGUGAGUAACGCGUGAGCAACCUGCCUAUGACAGUGGGAUAGCCUCGGGAAACCGGGAUUAAUACCGCAUAAAAUCGUAGAAACACAUGUUUUAACGGUCAAAGAUUUAUCGGUCAUAGAUGGGCUCGCGUCUGAUUAGCUAGUUGGUGAGAUAACAGCCCACCAAGGCGACGAUCAGUAGCCGGUCUGAGAGGAUGAACGGCCACAUUGGAACUGAGACACGGUCCAAACUCCUACGGGAGGCAGGAGUGGGGAAUAUUGCACAAUGGGGGAAACCCUGAUGCAGCGACGCCGCGUGAACGAAGAAGGUAUUCGUAUCGUAAAGUUCUGUCCUAUGGGAAGAUAAUGACAGUACCAUAGAAGAAGGCUCCGGCUAAAUACGUG